CAAACGACUCUCGGCAACGGAUAUCUCGGCUCUCGCAUCG
Molecule: ribosomal RNA, 40 nt
Filed under: Tiquilia nuttallii
Lineage: Eukaryota; Viridiplantae; Streptophyta; Magnoliopsida; Boraginales; Ehretiaceae
Also listed under: 1 other name
Description: partial 5.8S ribosomal RNA
Source: RNAcentral